Molecule: ribosomal RNA, 171 nt
Filed under: uncultured bacterium
Lineage: Bacteria
Description: partial 16S ribosomal RNA
Rfam family: Bacterial small subunit ribosomal RNA (bases 1-78)
Source: RNAcentral
CACGCCGUAAACGAUGAUAACUAGCUGUCUGGGCUCUUAGAGCUUAGGUGGCGCAGCUAACGCAUUAAGUUAUCCGCCUGGGGAGNACGCGCAGAACCUUACCAGCGUUUGACAUGUCCGGACGAUUUCCAGAGAUGGAUCUCUUCCCUUCGGGGACUGGAACACAGGUGC